CAGACCAGCCAGGCUGCUCAAGACCAUCCCCAAAAACCUCUUCAUGAGUCCACAGGGAAUGAAGCGAGAGGGUGGGAGGACGAGGAAUGAAGUGCACUCCAGAUAUAAACUCUGAGUGUUGUGACGUAGGAUAACUUUGUGUACGUCAAAGCAAACGACGCAGUCAUAAAUCCCAACACCCAGAACACCAGCAAGCAAUAACUGCCACUCAACUCGAGAGACCUGACACCGCACCUCUCGAACCAACCAGACAAGGACAACGACCUGGAACGAUCCAGAAUGACCCGAAACGACCUUAACGACUAUGAUAACAGCAAAUCACUCUCCUUCUAAAGUCUUACCGCACACACACACACACGCCACACAAAACACAUGCACACAACAAACACACUCACUACCAUAUCCUCUUGUCCUUGUCCCACCUGAUUAAAACCCAGUGCAGGUUUUGUCGGAGCGGUUCUGGUUCCGAGAGGGGGGGGGGGGUGUUGAAAAGCAGAGGCGAAUGCCAGCGGCUCCCUCCGGCCCUGUCAAUAAUAAAUCUCCAGGAGACAAAGCAGAGGCUGUCACUGGGGCUAACCGAUGCUGGGAAACCAGCGGAAAGAGCGGCCAAAGAGGCGGACCAAACGCCAGUUCUUUUGGACUCCAGAACAGUUCCAGAACCCAAGGGUUGACAUUAAGUUUGGACGAGCUUUUUUGUUUCUGCUACAGAGCAACUUGUUAACAUUGAUCUUUAUUAGCUGGUGUCAUGGUGCAUACCAAAACAGAAUACCAAGAUCCAUGGGUCUAACCAUCCUUUUUUUGAUAGCCAAAGAUCAAUAUUUAGCUGGUGGAUGUAGAGAGUCAAUCAAAAUAAAGACUGAAUGCAUUUAGAUGGAACAAAGAAGUGAAAAAAGAGGGGAAAGAGAGAGAGAGAGAGAGAGAGAGAGAGAGAGAGAGAGAGAGAGGGAGACAGAGAGCAGAGGAAGAUUCUUUAGCACAACUGAGUUCCCUCUAAAGCAAACACUUCUUUACAGUAAACACACUUCUGUAAACAUUAAUAAAGGGAAAAAAUGGUG
This is a long non-coding RNA of Clupea harengus (Atlantic herring), 1055 nucleotides long. RefSeq lists it as uncharacterized. The record is from RefSeq and is a predicted model, not a curated record. NCBI's taxonomy places the organism in Eukaryota, Metazoa, Chordata, Actinopteri, Clupeiformes, Clupeidae.